GGGUAGGGGAGCUUCCCAUACGGGUUGAAGCAUGACCGUAAGGACAUGUGGACAGUAUGGGAGUGAGAAUGUUGGCAUGAGUAGCGAGAUGUGGGUGAGAAUCCCACAGGCCGUAAACCCAAGGUUUCCAGGGGAAGGUUCGUCCGCCCUGGGUUAGUCGGGACCUAAGCUGAGGCCGAAAGGCGUAGGUGAUGGACAACAGGUUGAUAUUCCUGUACUACCGAUAACCGGUUGAGAGAAGGGAUGACACAGUAGGAUAAGCUAAGCACACUGUUGGUUAUGUGUGCCCAAGCAUUGAGGCAGUCAAAGUAGGCAAAUCCGCUUUGAUAAUGCUGGGAUGUGAUGGGGAGCGAAAUUUAGUAGCGAAGUAGCUGAUUUCACACUGUCAAGAAAAGUCUCUAUCGAGGUUAAAGGUACCCGUACCGCAAACCGACACAGGUGGGUGAGGAGAGUAUCCUAAGGCCAGCGAGAGAACUGUUGUUAAGGAACUCGGCAAAAUGACCCCGUAACUUAGGGAUAAGGGGUGCCACCAUCAGGUGGCCGCAGAGAAUAGGCCCAAGCGACUGUUUACCAAAAACAUAGGUUUCUGCUAAGUCGCAAGACGAUGUAUAGGAGCUGACGCCUGCCCGGUGCUGGAAGGUUAAGGGGAUCUGUUAGAGCAAUCGAAGCAGUGAACUUAAGCCCCAGUAAACGGCGGCCGUAACUAUAACGGUCCUAAGGUAGCGAAAUUCCUUGUCGGGUAAGUUCCGACCCGCACGAAAGGCGUAACGAUUUGGGCACUGUCUCAACAACAGACUCGGUGAAAUUGUAAUUCCGGUGAAGAUGCCGGAUACCUG
Molecule: ribosomal RNA, 836 nt
Filed under: Clostridioides difficile
Lineage: Bacteria; Bacillati; Bacillota; Clostridia; Peptostreptococcales; Peptostreptococcaceae
Description: bacterial LSU rRNA
Rfam family: Bacterial large subunit ribosomal RNA
Source: RNAcentral